This 560-nucleotide small RNA is filed under the name Pongo abelii (Sumatran orangutan). Its description in RNAcentral is "processed transcript". Lineage: Eukaryota; Metazoa; Chordata; Mammalia; Primates; Hominidae. The record is from RNAcentral.
UAAACGGUGUUUCUUUUCUAAGGUGGACAGCAGCAAGGAAUCAGCUGAAGCAGCUUGUGAUAUACUAUCGCAACUUGUGAAUUGCUCUUUAAAAACACUUGGACUUAUUUCAACUGCUCGACCAAGCUUUAUGGAUUUACCAAAGUCUCACUUUAUCUCUGCACUGACAGUUGUGUUCGUAAACUCCAAAUCCCUGUCUUCGCUUAAGAUAGAUGAUACUCCAGUAGAUGAUCCAUCUCUCAAAGUACUAGUGGCCAACAAUAGUGAUACACUCAAGCUGUUGAAAAUGAGCAGCUGUCCUCAUGUCUCUCCAGCAGGUAUGUUGUGUUUUUUUGCUGGACACAUUUUAGUAAAAUGCAUUGCUAUGUUCAAAUUAGAAAAAACUAUGAUCAUUAACCUUGAAGGUGGAUUCACAUGACUGCUUCAUCUCUAAAAUAUUUUUAAUGUGGUAAUAGAAUAGCAUAAGUUCUGUAGGGUUGCUAGCCUAGACACUGACUUUCAGCUUAUUUUCUAAUCUUAUUUGAUAAAUUUAUGAAUAGCACAUGCUAGAAAAUGAACAG